RNAcentral lists this ribosomal RNA (479 nucleotides) under uncultured bacterium. RNAcentral's name for it is "partial 16S ribosomal RNA". It matches the Rfam family "Bacterial small subunit ribosomal RNA", at positions 28 to 507 of the family's 1533-position model. The record is from RNAcentral.
GAUGAACGCUGGCGGCGUGCUUAACACAUGCAAGUCGAACGAAGCACUUUAACCUGAUUCUUCGGCUGAAGGUUUUUGUGACUGAGUGGCGGACGGGUGAGGAACGCGUGGGUGACCUGCCUCAUACAGGGGGAUAACAGUUAGAAAUGACAGCUAGUACCGCAUAAGACAACAGAGCCGCAUGGCUCGGUGGGAUGAAAUCCCGUGGUAUUAGCGGGACGCGCGUCUGAUUAGGUAGUGGGAGGGGUAACGGCCUACCAAGCCAGCGAUCAGUAGCCGACGUGAGAGGGUGACCCGACACAGGGGGAGAGAGACGCGGCACACUCUCCUGCGGGAGGGAGCAGGGGAGAAUACUGCAAUAGGGGGGAGCCUGUCAUGCAGCGGCGGCGCGGAAGCAAAGGAGUAUUUGGUCAUGUAAUGCUCUAUCAGCAGAAGAGAAAAUGACGGUACCUGACGAAGAAGCACCGGCUAAAUACGUG